RNAcentral lists this unclassified non-coding RNA (2041 nucleotides) under Leguminivora glycinivorella. RNAcentral describes it as "liver carboxylesterase 1-like, transcript variant X2". Lineage: Eukaryota; Metazoa; Arthropoda; Insecta; Lepidoptera; Tortricidae. The record is from RNAcentral.
GUAAGUACUUUGACAAUGGUGCAAGUGCGAGUUCGCGACGGUGUGUUGGAAGGGGAAGUGUUGGAUAAUGUGCUCGGAGGACAGUACUACAGUUUUAAGGGGAUUCCUUAUGCUGCACCUCCAUUAGGAGACCUGCGAUUCAAGGCGCCACAACCAGUCAUUCCUUGGGAUGGAGUCCGCAGCGCUAAGGCCCACGGACCGAUCUGCCAUCAGUUCGACAUGUUCACCGGAAAGCUGUGCACAGAACCAAGCAGCGAAGACUGCCUCUACCUCAAUGUGUAUUCGCCUGAUCUCCAGCCUAAAAAACCGCUUCCUGUAAUGUUUUGGAUCCAUGGCGGCGGUUUCUUAAGCGGCAGCGGAAACACAAGCUACUAUGGACCCGAUUUCCUAGUCAAUCAAAAUGUUGUCCUUGUAACUUUUAAUUACAGACUAGCCGUAGUAGGAUUCUUGUGCCUGCACACAAAAGAAGUACCAGGAAACGCCGGUAUGAAAGACCAAGUAGCUGCUCUUAGGUGGGUGAAAGACAACAUAAGGCAUUUUGGCGGAGAUCCUGAUAAUGUAACUAUUUUUGGAGAGAGCGCCGGUGCAGGGUCGGUCACCUACCACCUGGUAUCUCCAAUGUCCAAAGGGCUGUUCAAGCGAGCUAUUGCACAGAGUGGCGUAAAUUUGAGUCAUUGGGCUCGAGCGUUUGAGCCUCGAUUGAGAGCUGAGGCCAUAGCUCGUUUAUUCGGUAAAGAUACCAAGGACGACAAAGAGCUGUAUGAAUUGUUUAAAUCCUUGCCAAUCGAAAAGUUAACAAAUCCCGUUGCGCCUCUUACAGUCGAGGAAGAAGCGGGGAUACGUCUCACUAUGUCUUUCACUGUUGUUGAUGAACAGCAGUUUGAUGGAGUUGAAAGAUUUUUCUACGGCGAUGUUUACGAACGGCUGCAUCACGGCAUACAUGAAGGCGUCGAACUUAUGAUGGGUUAUACAACUGACGAGGGCAUUGUUCAGUUUGCGUUUUCGCCAAAAGAUAAUUUCUUUGACAAUUACAACAAAUACGCACAGUGCUUCGUACCCAUUGAUUUAGCUCUAAAAUGCCCAGCGAAAGAUCAAUUGGCAAUCGGUCAUAAAAUGAAAAAUCAUUACUUCGGCGACAAACCCGUUACAAAAGACACUGUCGAUGUCCUAAUAAAAUAUUUGUCAAUGCAGCUAAUUACCUUUAAUGCUAUUGAAUAUGCCAAAUUCUUCGCUCAAAUGGAUAGGAACAAGUUAUUUGUCUACCAAUUUGACAUGUACUCUGAAAGAAAUAUUUGGACCGAAGAGUUUGGUGGAGGUCCAUACAUAAGCGGAAAGAGUGUCGGCCACUGCGAUGAUUUAACGUAUUUGUUCAGUACUGAGAAAGUUAAAGCUGACCUAACCGCUAAGAGUAUUAAACUUAUAAAGAAUAUGACAAAAUUGUGGACAGAUUUUGCUAGAUUCGGUAACCCCACUCCGGACAGCAGCCUGGGGGUCAAAUGGCCCGCGUUUGACCCCAAGAAGGAGCAGUACCUGGUCAUCGGCAAUGACCUCGUCGUGGCGUCACACCCAAAUAAAGAAGACUUCGAAUUCUGGGAGAAACUGCACCAACAAUAUGUCAAACAUUAGCUGUAACUAGACUCUGUAUUUUUAGGGGUUUAGUACCGUUUGGUAGCCAAAAUUUCGUAACCGGCUACAAACUGAUCUUGAUUUCCAUUUUGUAGCCAGUUACGUACUGGACCAGAGUAGUACCGUUUGGUAACUAAGUUUUGUAACUGGCUACAAUGUGGGAAUCAAAAUUCCCGGUUCGUAGCCGGUUACGAUUGGGCCCGAGUGGUAUCUUUUGGUAACCCAGUUUCGUAACUAGCGAAUACGGGAACGGGAAUACAAAAUUCCCUGUUUGUAGCUGGUUACGUAUUGGGUCCGAGUUACUGAUCGGAGUUUCUACCAAAUUGAAGCUAGGACGCUUGACAUACGGACAGACGGACAGAGUAAAACUAUAAAGGUUCCGUAGUCAACUAGUUUUACUCUGUCUAAAAAUUAC